This 442-nucleotide ribosomal RNA is filed under the name uncultured bacterium. RNAcentral's name for it is "partial 16S ribosomal RNA". It matches the Rfam family "Bacterial small subunit ribosomal RNA", at positions 338 to 795 of the family's 1533-position model. The record is from RNAcentral.
CCUACGGGAGGCAGCAGUGGGGAAUAUUGGGCAAUGGGCGCAAGCCUGACCCAGCCACGCCGCGUGAAGGAAGAAGGCAUUCGGGUUGUAAACUUCUUUUAAGAGGGACGAGCAGACGACGUUACCUCUUGAAUAAGCCACGGCUAACUAAGUGCCAGCAGCCGCGGUCAUACGUAGGUGGCAAGCGUUGUUCGGAUUUACUGGGUGUACAGGGCGUGUAGCCGGGCUGACAAGUCAGAUGUGAAAUUCCGGUGCUCAACCCCGGACCUGCAUUUGAUACUGUUGGUCUUGAGUAUCGGAGAGGCAGGCAGAAUUCCGAGUGUAGCGGUGAAAUGCGUAGAUAUUAGGAGGAACACCGGUGGCGAAGGCGGCCUGCUGGACGACAACUGACGGUGAGGCGCGAAAGCGUGGGGAGCAAACAGGAUUAGAUACCCGGGUAGUC